Molecule: unclassified non-coding RNA, 406 nt
Filed under: soil metagenome
Description: partial contains 5.8S ribosomal RNA, internal transcribed spacer 2, and large subunit ribosomal RNA
Rfam family: 5.8S ribosomal RNA (bases 1-121)
Source: RNAcentral
GAUGAAGAACGUAGCGAAAUGCGAUAAGUAAUGUGAAUUGCAGAAUUCAGUGAAUCAUCGAAUCUUUGAACGCACCUUGCGCCCUUUGGCCAUUCCGAAGGGCAUGCCUGUUUGAGUAUCAUGAACACCUCAACUCUUCAUGGUUUUCCAUGAUGAGCUUGGACUUUGGGGGUCUUGCUGGCCUGUGGGUCGGCUCCUCUCAAAUGAAUCAUCUUGCCGGUUUUUGGUGGGCAUCACAGGUGUGAUAACUAUCUACGCUUGUGGUUUUCCACCAGGGUAACCUUCAGCAGUGGAGGUUCACUGGAGCUUACAAAUGUCUCUCCUCUGUGAGGACAGCCCUUUGAAUGUUUGAUCUCAAAUCAGGUAGGACUACCCGCUGAACUUAAGCAUAUCAAUAAGCGGAGGA